Molecule: ribosomal RNA, 253 nt
Filed under: uncultured bacterium
Lineage: Bacteria
Description: partial 16S ribosomal RNA
Rfam family: Bacterial small subunit ribosomal RNA
Source: RNAcentral
UACGAGAGGCCCAAACGUUAUUCGGAAUUACUGGGCUUAAAGAGUUCGUAGGCGGCGCGGAAAGUGGGGUGUGAAAGCCCUCGGCUCAACCGAGGAAUUGCGCUCCAAACUACCGUGCUUGAGGAAGCUAGAGGUGAGCGGAACUGAUGGUGGAGCGGUGAAAUGCGUUGAUAUCAUCAGGAACACCGGAGGCGAAGGCGGCUCACUGGGGCUUUUCUGACGCUGAGGAACGAAAGCCAGGGUAGCGAACGGG